Molecule: long non-coding RNA, 287 nt
Organism: Solea senegalensis (Senegalese sole)
Lineage: Eukaryota; Metazoa; Chordata; Actinopteri; Pleuronectiformes; Soleidae
Exons: 3
Source: RefSeq, a predicted model, not a curated record
AUCAGGUGUUUUGGAGCAGGAGAAACAUCUCAAACAUGCAGGACAGUGAGUCUGAGAAACACUGGAGGCUCAUGAGCUUUUCAACGUCUGUGAAACUCCUCGACGGGAGACGAUCCUUGGGGACGUGGCCUCUCUCCCUCUGUGAACUGAGGUGGCUCGUCACAUACCUGCGAGGACGUGAGGACGUGAGGACAUGAGGACAUGAGCUCUGACCAACAAAGACGCCUGUGAAUGUCACUGUUGGAGACAAUGGAGACUAACGUCUCACCUACCUGCUGCUGCUGCUG